GAUGAACGCUGGCGGCGUGCCUAAUACAUGCAAGUCGAGCGAACGGACGAGAAGCUUGCUUCUCUGAUGUUAGCGGCGGACGGGUGAGUAACACGUGGAUAACCUACCUAUAAGACUGGGAUAACUUCGGGAAACCGGAGCUAAUACCGGAUAAUAUUUUGAACCGCAUGGUUCAAAAGUGAAAGACGGUCUUGCUGUCACUUAUAGAUGGAUCCGCGCUGCAUUAGCUAGUUGGUAAGGUAACGGCUUACCAAGGCAACGAUGCAUAGCCGACCUGAGAGGGUGAUCGGCCACACUGGAACUGAGACACGGUCCAGACUCCUACGGGAGGCAGCAGUAGGGAAUCUUCCGCAAGGGGCGAAAGCCUGACGGAGCAACGCCGCGUGAGUGAUGAAGGUCUUCGGAUCGUAAAACUCUGUUAGUAGGGAAGAACAUAUGUGUAAGUAACUGUGCACAUCUUGACGGUACCUAAUCAGAAAGCCACGGCUAACUACGUG
RNAcentral lists this ribosomal RNA (497 nucleotides) under uncultured bacterium. Its description in RNAcentral is "partial 16S ribosomal RNA". It matches the Rfam family "Bacterial small subunit ribosomal RNA", at positions 28 to 507 of the family's 1533-position model. The record is from RNAcentral.